This 421-nucleotide long non-coding RNA is filed under the name Sorghum bicolor (sorghum). RNAcentral describes it as "long non-coding RNA (SBIC_LNC007220)". Lineage: Eukaryota; Viridiplantae; Streptophyta; Magnoliopsida; Poales; Poaceae. The record is from RNAcentral.
ACGCUGAAAAAUUUUGUAAAUUUUUUUGGAACUAAACAAAGCAAAGAUAUACAUAUUAUCUACAAAUUUCAAAUGCCCAUAGUGUCGAAACGUUCCGUGCCGAUGAGCGAAUCCUUAAUUUGACGAAGGUGCUUCUUGGGUUAGAAGAUUAAUGCGAUUUUGUACGAUAAUAAAAUCCGAUUUCCUAGCUCAUAUUUUUCUUACAGUUAUUCUUCUUCCUGGCUCAAAUUUUCUUAAAGGAAAAAGUCUACAUAACCUCCAAACUAUCUAGGGUGGAAUAUUUUAUCCUCCAAAAUAUUCUACCUCUGAACUUUCAAAACCGAUUAAAUAACCCUCUAGAGUGGUUUUAUAGGGUGGAUUUGUUUUUUUCUUUUUUUAUUUAUUUCCUCUGAAUCUUUGAAAAAUCAUAAUAAAUCACAGA